Molecule: long non-coding RNA, 1796 nt
Filed under: Solanum tuberosum (potato)
Lineage: Eukaryota; Viridiplantae; Streptophyta; Magnoliopsida; Solanales; Solanaceae
Description: long non-coding RNA (STUB_LNC008264)
Source: RNAcentral
UUCGGUGCCCGGAGAAAGGUAACAUUCCUCCUUCCUUCUCACUACGUUCCAGAAUCCACAUUCUAUAUUUUGGUUCUGUUUUGUGACCCUUAUCCAGUUUUGAAAUAUUUCGUUGUUGGGAUUUUAGUAUAUGUAAAUAUGGGCCUGAUUAAUUUCUUUUGUUCUUGACUUUGAAAUGGUCUCUGAUUGUUCAUCAUAGUAUUUUAUUACUAUUAUCAUCAUUUAUUUAUUUUUAUUAUUUUUAUUAUUAUUUUUAUUUUUAAAAAAAGGUGAAUAAAUAUUAACUUCAUCUCCCGGUUAGUUACUUUAUUUACAUAUCAAGAAGUAUGAAUCUUAUACAGCUAGCUUGUUGCCUCAUUGAAUGUUUUAUGGUAUGAAGCAUUUUGGAAAUACACUGGUCCUUUUUGUGGGUGAGGAUGUUAAUAUUUUCUAAGUGUUUGUAUUCAUGUGUUUGGCCCAUUUAAAAUAUAUAUAUAAUAAAUUGUGGUCCAUUGAUUAUAGUUAUUUCAAUCCUUGCAAAUCUAUGAUCAUUUAUCUAUUUUACCAAGUUGAAAUGCUUAGUUGUUGGUUGGAACAUGUUGGCUUAUUAUUAAUAGAUUCAUGAUGCUAUUUAGAUUUUAGAUAUAAUAAUGGUGUUAAUUUAGCCAUUGGGCAUUGGAUACAAAUCUUUAUGAUUUAAUUUUGAUUUAUUAAAUAUUGUUGAGAAUUUUAGCAUUUCCUUUAAUCUUCACUAGUCAUUUGUCUGUUCUUUAUUAGAAAAUAAGCAUGCAAUAUUUUUACUUGAAACGUGAUUCUUAUUUCAACUCAUUUUAUUGCAAAUUUUGUUUUAUUUUCUUUGAAUGUUUCCUGUUCUCUCUUAACUCUAAAUGUGCAAGAAUGUGAUUAUGUUUGUCCUUAGCUUAAGCCGUCAUAUUAUUCCCUCUCCACAUGAGUUUAUUUCCUAACAUUUUGUUUAAAUUCCCAUUUCGUUUAAAUUUGGCGGGUUUGAGUUAACAAUAGACAUGAUCAAUAUUUUGGAUAAUUGGUUUGCUUAGUAGUAUAGAUAAAGGCUCAUCCUUUUGUUGUGAAUAAACUAAUCCUUUGUCUUUAUUUUUUGCGCAUGUGAAACUUCAUUCGAGUCCAUUUGAGCUCCACUCCCUUUCCGUGCAUUUCGUGGAUUGGGCCUAAUAGGCCCAAUACUUCUCUCUAUCGAGUCCAAAAUAGUUGACGAACAGGUCACAUGCAGUAUAAGGCUGGAAAUUGAAAUUAUAGGUUCCAAAAAAAGUCGAAAACAGGCUGUAUACAACCGUAUACACUGAUAUACAUGGAAAAAAUACCGACAUACAGGUUCAAAAAAACGAAAUGCAGGUUGCAGGGGUCAAAACAGACUGUAUACACUCGGUAUACAGUCCGAUAUACACAAAAGUGGAUCACAUUAUGGCUUAUAUACAUCGAUAUACGCCUUUGGUAUACACAGGUCUUUGGGGGCGAAAAUGGGCCUAAAGUCCAUUAAAUUUGGCCCAAAUUUGGGCAUCCUCUUGUUAUUGCCAUUAUUUAUUUAUUUGUAUUAAUUCUCUAACCCAUUUUAUGUGAUUUGGUUAUUUAACUUAAUUAAACCCCUAAAGAUGAACCACUUUUGAUUAUGAUAACUUAUUUCGUCUUAUUUAAUUAGUUUUCUUUACUUGACCAUUUUGAAAAAGUUUACUUUUCUUUUCUAAAUGAUUUCAAAACAUUUAAGUUAAAUGAUUUAUUUUUGUUACAUCCUUUCUUCUCGAAUUAAUCUUCAAAGUUAGUUGCAAAGUCUUUUUGUUUUUUUU